RNAcentral lists this ribosomal RNA (313 nucleotides) under uncultured delta proteobacterium. RNAcentral describes it as "bacterial SSU rRNA". It matches the Rfam family "Bacterial small subunit ribosomal RNA", at positions 536 to 847 of the family's 1533-position model. Lineage: Bacteria; Deltaproteobacteria. The record is from RNAcentral.
AAGCGUUGUUCGGAAUUAUUGGGCGUAAAGCGCGUGUAGGCGGCUCCUUAAGUCUGAUGUGAAAGCCCUGGGCUCAACCCGGGAAGUGCAUUGGAAACUGGGGAACUUGAAUACGGGAGAGGGUAGUGGAAUUCCUGGUGUAGGAGUGAAAUCCGUAGAUAUCAGGAGGAACACCGGUGGCGAAGGCGGCUACCUGGACCGAUAUUGACGCUGAGACGCGAAAGCGUGGGGAGCAAACAGGAUUAGAUACCCUGGUAGUCCACGCCGUAAACGAUGAGAACUAGGUGUUGCGGGUAUUGACCCCUGCAGUGCC